This 443-nucleotide ribosomal RNA is filed under the name uncultured soil bacterium. RNAcentral's name for it is "bacterial SSU rRNA". It matches the Rfam family "Bacterial small subunit ribosomal RNA", at positions 26 to 518 of the family's 1533-position model. The record is from RNAcentral.
AGAACGAACGCUGGCGGCAGGCUUAACACAUGCAAGUCGAACGCCCCGCAAGGGGAGUGGCAGACGGGUGAGUAACGCGUGGGAAUCUACCCAGAUCUUCGGAACAACUGAGGGAAACUUCAGCUAAUACCGGAUACGCCCUACGGGGGAAAGAUUUAUCGGUUCUGGAUGAGCCCGCGUAAGAUUAGCUAGUUGGUGGGGUAAUGGCCUACCAAGGCGACGAUCUUUAGCUGGUCUGAGAGGAUGAUCAGCCACACUGGGACUGAGACACGGCCCAGACUCCUACGGGAGGCAGCAGUGGGGAAUAUUGGACAAUGGGCGCAAGCCUGAUCCAGCCAUGCCGCGUGAGUGAUGAAGGCCUUAGGGUUAGUAAAGCUCUUUCAGUGGGUAAGAUAAUGACGUACCCACAGAAGAAGCCCGGCUAACUUCGCGCCAGCAGCCGC